Molecule: ribosomal RNA, 253 nt
Filed under: uncultured bacterium
Lineage: Bacteria
Description: partial 16S ribosomal RNA
Rfam family: Bacterial small subunit ribosomal RNA
Source: RNAcentral
UACAGAGGGUGCAAGCGUUAAUCGGAAUUACUGGGCGUAAAGCGCACGUAGGCGGUUGGUUAAGUCAGAUGUGAAAGCCCCGGGCUCAACCUGGGAAUUGCAUUUGAAACUGGCCAACUAGAGUACGUGAGAGGGGGGUAGAAUUCCAAGUGUAGCGGUGAAAUGCGUAGAGAUUUGGAGGAAUACCAGUGGCGAAGGCGGCCCCCUGGCACAACACUGACGCUCAUGCACGAAAGCGUGGGGAGCAAACAGG